ACCACAAGUGAUGCGAACAAAGUGGACGGGGCAAGGAGGAGACUAUGACUGGCAUGUGGGUUGUUAGGUGCUGUGAGAUAAAGAGUUCUAUGAAUAAACAGUAUUGGGAAUGAAAUGGUGUUUUGAGGCAGUUUGGUUUGUUCUUGUUUCAGAAAAUUUUAGAGUUACUAGUUGAACCUGAAAAUUUUCAAUCUGUUUCUGUACAUGACUUUU
Molecule: unclassified non-coding RNA, 213 nt
Filed under: Hevea brasiliensis (rubber tree)
Lineage: Eukaryota; Viridiplantae; Streptophyta; Magnoliopsida; Malpighiales; Euphorbiaceae
Source: RNAcentral